GGUCGGAAUACUAGGCCAGUCCCGGUUACUUUUGACAGUGAUGGAUCCAGGGGGAGGGUUCCGGGUUCCCCCCUUUUUUGGACGAUCAAUGCCUUUGAAUGGGGAAAUAUAGUUGGAACACUCCCUUUUUGUCCUGGGUUGGGAACCCCCUUUUAAAAUGGCUGGAUCGCCCGAUUGAUCGUUGCUGGAUCCAUUAGUCUAUUUUAAUAACAUUCAGUGCUCUGAUUCAAUUAUUUUAGUUUUAAUGCUGAUAUUUCUUUUUUUUUUAAUAUGAACUCGGUUGACAUAUUGAUAGAUACAACAGAAAAUUGCAAAUCAACAAAAUAAC
This 328-nucleotide long non-coding RNA is filed under the name Mytilus galloprovincialis (Mediterranean mussel). The record is from RNAcentral. Lineage: Eukaryota; Metazoa; Mollusca; Bivalvia; Mytilida; Mytilidae.